AGGAUGAACGCUGGCGGCGUGCUUAACACAUGCAAGUCGAACGGUGAACACGGAGCUUGCUCUGUGGGAUCAGUGGCGAACGGGUGAGUAACACGUGAGCAACCUGCCCCUGACUCUGGGAUAAGCGCUGGAAACGGCGUCUAAUACUGGAUAUGUGACGUGACCGCAUGGUCUGCGUUUGGAAAGAUUUUUCGGUUGGGGAUGGGCUCGCGGCCUAUCAGCUUGUUGGUGAGGUAAUGGCUCACCAAGGCGUCGACGGGUAGCCGGCCUGAGAGGGUGACCGGCCACACUGGGACUGAGACACGGCCCAGACUCCUACGGGAGGCAGCAGUGGGGAAUAUUGCACAAUGGGCGAAAGCCUGAUGCAGCAACGCCGCGUGAGGGAUGACGGCCUUCGGGUUGUAAACCUCUUUUAGCAGGGAAGAAGCGAAA
This 432-nucleotide ribosomal RNA is filed under the name Microbacterium sp. LPA47. RNAcentral describes it as "bacterial SSU rRNA". It matches the Rfam family "Bacterial small subunit ribosomal RNA", at positions 26 to 455 of the family's 1533-position model. Lineage: Bacteria; Bacillati; Actinomycetota; Actinomycetes; Micrococcales; Microbacteriaceae. The record is from RNAcentral.